GUGUACUUAGCUCAAUGGUUAGAGCAUCACUCAUGAAUGCUGAGUAUGUGAGUUUGACUCUCACAGUACACG
This is a transfer RNA of Puccinia triticina 1-1 BBBD Race 1, 72 nucleotides long. It matches the Rfam family "tRNA". Rfam says of the family: Transfer RNA (tRNA) molecules are approximately 80 nucleotides in length. The record is from Rfam. Lineage: Eukaryota; Fungi; Basidiomycota; Pucciniomycetes; Pucciniales; Pucciniaceae.